RNAcentral lists this ribosomal RNA (351 nucleotides) under uncultured eukaryote. Its description in RNAcentral is "partial small subunit ribosomal RNA". The record is from RNAcentral.
CCUGGCGGUGGGGUUUCUGAAGCCGCAUCUGCCGUUCGUGGCGCCGAAGAAGUACUUCGGUCUGUACCCGCCGGCGCAGGUUCGGCUGGCGGACAACCCGUUUCCGCCGAAGGGCGUUCCGAGGAUCGCCAUGACGAACUGGGGCGAAUUGCGGGCGUACUUCGACAUCCCGAAGAAGGGGGCGCUGGCGGAUGCGAAGGCGUUGGAACUGAGGCGGGCGUACUACGCGGCGACGAGUUACGUCGACGCGCAGAUCGGUCGCGUCCUGGCCGAGCUGGAUCGGCUGAAUCUGCGGGACAAGACGGUGGUGGUGUUGUGGGGCGAUCACGGGUGGCAGUUGGGGGAUCAUGG